Nothoprocta perdicaria is the source of this 419-nucleotide long non-coding RNA. RefSeq lists it as uncharacterized. The record is from RefSeq and is a predicted model, not a curated record. Lineage: Eukaryota; Metazoa; Chordata; Aves; Tinamiformes; Tinamidae. The transcript has 3 exons.
ACAACCUUUCCCUCCAGAACUUCCAAGAACUUGAUCAGAAAACCUGGCUCCAACCUUCAUGCAGGAUUUAAAGAGGGAAUGUGGUGUGCAUGGUAACCCACCAUUCAAGGGAUGUCUUUGCAGAAAUCCUCCCACAAAUUGAGCUGGGUUGGAUUUAACCCCACCAAGCCAAUAGAAGAAAAUGAUAAGACGAAGCACUGAAGCAGCUGGAGGAGGCAAAGCUGAGGACUGUUGCAGCACACAUUGACUGCAGGAGGUGGCAUGAACUCAGCGCUGGCAUUAAACUACAAUUGUGAUGGCCAUCCUGAAAAAUGAGGCAGCGAGUAUGAGAGCUUUCCAGUUGCAAAUUAUUGCUGCAUGGAUGUGAAAGGCACGAGCCAUUCCCAUGGAGUUUCAAGGACAGGUUCCACAGAAUUGCA